This 72-nucleotide transfer RNA is filed under the name Camelus bactrianus (Bactrian camel). It matches the Rfam family "tRNA". Rfam says of the family: Transfer RNA (tRNA) molecules are approximately 80 nucleotides in length. Their secondary structure includes four short double-helical elements and three loops (D, anti-codon, and T loops). RNAcentral also lists the same sequence under 2 other names. The record is from Rfam by way of RNAcentral. Lineage: Eukaryota; Metazoa; Chordata; Mammalia; Artiodactyla; Camelidae.
GAGGGUACAGCUCAGUGGUAGAAUGUGUGCUUAGCAUGCACAAGGUCCUGGGUUCAAUCCCCAGUACCUCCA